RNAcentral lists this small nuclear RNA (107 nucleotides) under Chinchilla lanigera (long-tailed chinchilla). The record is from RNAcentral. Lineage: Eukaryota; Metazoa; Chordata; Mammalia; Rodentia; Chinchillidae.
GUGCUCGCUUUGGCAGCACAUAUACUAAAAUUGGAACAAUAGAGAGAAGAUUAGCAUGGCCCCUGCACAAGGAUGACAUGCAAAUUUGUGAAGUGUUCCAUACUUUG